Molecule: ribosomal RNA, 591 nt
Filed under: uncultured bacterium
Lineage: Bacteria
Description: bacterial SSU rRNA
Rfam family: Bacterial small subunit ribosomal RNA
Source: RNAcentral
GUGGGGUAACGGCCUACCAAGCCGAUGAUCCGUAGGGGGCGUGAGAGCGUGGCCCCCCACACUGGCACUGAGACACGGGCCAGACUCCUACGGGAGGCAGCAGUGAGGAAUAUUGCACAAUGGGCGCAAGCCUGAUGCAGCAGCGCCGCGUGAGGGACGAAGGCCUUCGGGUUGUAAACCUCUUUUCUGAGGGACGAGGAAGGACGGUACCUCAGGAAUAAGUCUCGGCUAACUACGUGCCAGCAGCCGCGGUAAAACGUAGGAGGCGAGCGUUAUCCGGAUUUACUGGGCGUAAAGCGCGCGCAGGUGGCUUCGUGAGUCGGACAUGAAAGCUCCUGGCUUAACUGGGAGAGGCUGUUCGAUACUGCGGGGCUUGAGGUUGGGAGAGGGACGCGGAAUUCCCGGUGGAGUGGUGGAAUGCGUAGAUAUCGGGAGGAACACCAGUGGCGCAAGCGGCGUCCUGGCCCACACCUGACGCUGAGGUGCGAAAGCGUGGGUAGCAAACAGGAUUAGAUACCCUGGUAGUCCACGCUGUAAACGAUGUCAACUGGGUGUCGGUAGUUUUACACUAUCGGUGCCGAAGCUAACGCG